ACGUAACAGCAUCUUAGUCUGUGGUAACAGCCACUUGCCACCCCUUUGUGCCCUCAGAAAAAUAUCCACAGUUUGACAGCAGUUACAGUAGUGCUUCAUCAAAUGAUAAUUUGAAAUGUUUUGUGCAAACUAAUUUCAGUUGAUGCUGGAAUGUUGACUAUGCAGCUAGGUUAUCUGUUUCAUUUUUUAGACUGAUAAAAGUAGCACCAUUGUUUCAGCCAAGGUUACAGCACAUCACAAGAUGCCGAAAGGAUAUGACACACUUGUCAAUUGAAAAAGUGUUCACGUCAACGAGUGCAUCGUUUUUAUCACUCAUGUGUUCCGACAAAGGAGUCCACGACAGAAUUGUUUAUUGCUGUAAUGGGGCUCAAGGGCUUCACCCAUGGAAAAGGGCUACAUGUAAUGUUGGUGAUGGAAGGCCGGUAGCACAGUUGAUAUAGUUGCUGAGUCGUCUGGGUUAUAGCCCCCAAAUUAGUCUUUUCUAUUGAAUUAAGAUGCUCCAAUGUUAGCCUUUAUUCUUUUAAAAGGAAUAACCUACUGCCUCUAAUUGUAUGGGUCUGCCAAUUGCGAAGUUUGGGAGAAGAGUAUAAAGAAGGUAUGCUGUAGUUUUUAGAGUUAAACAGCACUCAUCCAUCUGGACGUUAAUUUUAAUUAUUGUGUCCUCUUGGCCCAUCCAACCCAGCAUGGUGGUUCGUACUUGGAGUAGCUGAACGAGGAGACUAUUACGGCAUCAACAAACCCAACGUAUUCACUCGAGCUGUUUUUGUCGGCGGGAAAUAACGAGAAGAUCUGGCAGAUAACGCGUUUCCCAUCGCCGUCGUCACGAUGAGUUUCAUCGGCUCAUUUUUCUUCCGAUGAGUUAAAAGUAUUUUCAUUUAUUUCCUUUUUUUCGUUUAUGUAGUGUUAAUUUUGCAAUUUUUAAUUGAACCACUGAGCUAUUCUAAUACGUGGAUAGUGAAGAUUUAUUCACUGUGGAACACCUGCAUCGACUUCUUCGACUGGCCAUCGCUGGGGAAAUGGAAUUGAGUUUCGCCUUGUUGCUUCUCAUUUCCAGAAUACUUCCUUCUUUUCUUUCUUACUACUUUCUCUUGGACCAGAAUACUUCUUCGGCCAUGGUCAACAAACCACUCAUUAAUUUGAAAAAAGGAACAGCUUAUCAUUGGUAUCUGUUUGCCAUUCUAACGGCCGCCUUAUCAGCUGUUGGCCUGCCCUGGCUGGAUGCCCGUCUUUGUUCGGAAUUCGCCACUUAACGCCCACGCACUGACUGAUGUCGAGUAACGAGUACAUCAGGGUCGCAUCUAUCAAAUGUAAAAUUUUCCUUCAUUCAAUUCAACUUCAAUUCCAGAUUUUGGUUUUAAUUCGAUACAAUUGGCAGAAUUUUACAAGUGCGUGAGACUCAACUGACUAGGGGUUUGAUCAAAUCUAUAAUCGAGAAAAUUGUUAGAAGCUUCACAAAAUAACCGGGAAUUGACUGAUCGACUGAACCGGCAUUAAAUUUUAAGCAUCGAUUACAAUGUGGCAUAAGUCCACUUGUGAUGAAAUUUUCUUAAUGAUAUAUAUAUUUUUUAAUUCUUUCGUAAUUUUCCCUUUCGAAUAUCGAGUGUUGUAUAUCAAAAUGAUUGUUUAAUUUCAUUUUUACAAAGAUAUUUAGUAUUUGAAAAAAAUUUGACAAAGAUGAAUAGGCCAAUUUUCUGUAAUCUAGUACAGUCUCGUAGCACAAUCACUAAAGCUUCAAAUGUUUGCUAUGGCUUGCCCAUACGUCAUUUAUAAAUAGUGGAGAGAGCGAGAAGUCGGGAGACGGAUCGCGACUAUCCCGAGACUGAA
Daphnia pulex (common water flea) is the source of this 1824-nucleotide long non-coding RNA. RefSeq lists it as uncharacterized. The record is from RefSeq and is a predicted model, not a curated record. Lineage: Eukaryota; Metazoa; Arthropoda; Branchiopoda; Diplostraca; Daphniidae. The transcript is spliced from 5 exons.